This 468-nucleotide ribosomal RNA is filed under the name uncultured bacterium. RNAcentral's name for it is "partial 16S ribosomal RNA". It matches the Rfam family "Bacterial small subunit ribosomal RNA", at positions 28 to 507 of the family's 1533-position model. The record is from RNAcentral.
GACGAACGCUGGCGGCGUGCUUAACACAUGCAAGUCGAACGGAAAGGCCCUGCUUUUGUGGGGUGCUCGAGUGGCGAACGGGUGAGUAACACGUGAGUAACCUGCCCUUGACUUUGGGAUAACUUCAGGAAACUGGGGCUAAUACCGGAUAGGAGCUCCUGCUGCAUGGUGGGGGUUGGAAAGUUUCGGCGGUUGGGGAUGGACUCGCGGCUUAUCAGCUUGUUGGUUGGGUAGUGGCUUACCAAGGCUUUGACGGGUAGCCGGCCUGAGAGGGUGACCGGCCACAUUGGGACUGAGAUACGGCCCAGACUCCUACGGGAGGCAGCAGUGGGGAAUAUUGCACAAUGGGCGGAAGCCUGAUGCAGCAACGCCGCGUGCGGGAUGACGGCCUUCGGGUUGUAUACCGCUUUCGCCUGUGACGAAGCGUGAGUGACGGUAAUGGGUAAAGAAGCACCGGCUAACUACGUG